AAUAUUGGACAAGGGGGGCAACCAUGAUCCAGCCAUGCCGCGUGUGUGAAGAAGGUAUGCGGAUUGUAAAGCACUUUAAGUUGGGAGGAAGGGCUUUAGGCUAAUACCCUGAAGUUUUGACGUUACCAACAGAAUAAGCACCGGCUAACUCUGUGCCAGCAGCCGCGGUAAUACAGAGGGUGCAAGCGUUAAACGGAAUUACUGGGCGUAAAGCGCGCGUAGGUGGUUCAGUAAGAUGGGUAUUAAAACCCCGGGCUUAACCUGGGAACUGCUUUCAUAACUGCUGAGCUAGAGUACGGUAGAGGGUAGUGGAAUUUCCUGUGUAGCGGUGAAAUGCGUAGAUAUAGGAAAGAACACCAGUGGCGAAAGCGACUACCUGGACUGAUACUGACACUGAAGUGCGAAAGCGUGGGGAGCAAAC
RNAcentral lists this ribosomal RNA (421 nucleotides) under uncultured bacterium. RNAcentral's name for it is "partial 16S ribosomal RNA". It matches the Rfam family "Bacterial small subunit ribosomal RNA", at positions 360 to 773 of the family's 1533-position model. The record is from RNAcentral.